CUAAAUACUACCCAGUGACCGAUAGCGUAUAGUACUGUGAAGGAAAGGUGAAAAGGACCCCGGGAGGGGAGUGAAAUAGAACCUGAAACCUUGUGCCUACAAGCACAUAGAGCACAUCAACGUGUGAUAUGGUACUUUUUGUAGAACGGUCCGGCGAGCGAUUGUAUGUUGCGAGCUUAAGGUCUUAAGGACUGGAGGCGUAGCGAGAGCGAGUCUGAACAGGGCGUUCAGUAACAUGCAAUGGGCCCGAAACCGGGUGACCUACCCAUGAUCAGGCUGAAGUGAAAGUAAAAUUUCAUGGAGGGCCGAACCGACCUCCGUUGAAAAGGCGGCGGAUGAAUUGUGGGUAGCGGAGAAAUUCCAAUCGAACUCGGAGAUAGCUGGUUCUCCCCGAAAUAGCUUUAGGGCUAGCCUCAUAUUAGAUACCCGGAGGUAAAGCACUGAAUGGCCUAGCGCCCGAGAGGGUAGCGAAGCCUAUCAAACUAAGAAUGCCGGAGUAUUGAUGUAUGGGAGUCAGACAGUGUGAGAUAAAUCUCAUUGUCAAAAGGGAAACAGCCCAGAUCUACAGCUAAGGUCCCAAAUUGUAUCUAAGUGGAAAACGAUGUGGAAAUACGCAGACAACCAGGAUGUUGGCUCAGAAGCAGCCACUCAUUUAAAGAGUGCGUAAUAGCUCACUGGUCGAGCGUCUCUGCGCGGAAAAUUUAACGGGGCUAAGAUACAAACCGAAGCUUAGGCUGCACGAAAGUGCGGGGUAGGGGAGCGUUGUGUAAGCGGAGAAACAGUAGCGUAAGCGGCUGUGGAGUUUACAGAAGUGAGAAUGCCGGAAUGAGUAGCGCGAAUGUGGUGAGAAUCCACAUGGCCGGAAACCUCAGGUUUUUGGAGGAAGGUUCGUCCGCUCCAAGUUAGGCGGGAGCUAAGGUCAGGCCGAAAGGCGUAGCCGAUGCACAGACGGUAGAGAUUCCGUCCCCACCGAAAGAUUUAAGCACAGGGACACUUUUUGAAGGUCGGAGCCAGGUGUUGGUUCUGGUAGUGAUCGAGGGAAAUAUAGUACCGAAGUCCGGCUGGAAGAGAGGCGAGAAAAGCUGUGUGUAUAUCUAAGGUGCCCGUACCGCAAACCGACACAGGUAGGUAGGAAGAAGAUUCUAAGGCCAACGGGAGAAGGGUUGUUAAGGAACUCGGCAAGUUGACCCCGUAACUUCGGAAUAAGGGGUGCUCACGAGAGUGAGCCGCAGAGAAUAGGCCCAGGCAACUGUUUACCAAAAACACAGGUUUGUGCUAAAUCGAAAGAUGACGUAUACGAGCUGACGCCUGCCCGGUGCUGGAAGGUUAAAAGGAGAUGUGCAAGCAUUGAAUUGAAGCCCCAGUGAACGGCGGCCGUAACUAUAACGGUCCUAAGGUAGCGAAAUUCCUUGUCAGGUAAG
Molecule: ribosomal RNA, 1421 nt
Filed under: human gut metagenome
Description: bacterial LSU rRNA
Rfam family: Bacterial large subunit ribosomal RNA
Source: RNAcentral